CACGUACGGUCAGCUGCUGCUGCUGCAGUCUUGCAGCCACCAUGCACUCCUCUGCACUCUGUGACUCCAGCACGGUUCUGUCCGAUCCUCUUUCGCAUGGUCUGAAUAAACGCUUAUAAACCUAACUCAGUGAUGAGAACGGCUCAACCGGAGCAGGGAGCAGCAUAAAGGCACCUGGUGUCAUGGCCUGAACUGUGACAGGAUCCAUUUGAGGAAGUAAAGGUUAUCUGUCAUGUUCGGACCUGCUUGACACAUACAGAUAAUUCAAGUCAAGCCCAACCAUUGGCUGCACAAUAUAACCCUAGUUGGACUGGAUGAUGGGAUUCUGAGUUUGCAGAUGAAGAUCUCUAUUUCUCUGGACCAUUGCUUCUUUGCUGUGCCCAUUUUUAUUUAAAAAAUAAAUAAAACAUUUUAAAAAAGGAACAGAUUGCUCGCAGGGUGAAGUGGAGCUACAAAGAGAGCCGUAACAACAAACCAAACCAGCUCUCUUUUGCUGCCAGAGGAACGUCUGCACACACACACACUCAAGAUUUUUACCUGGAUGGAAAAUCCCAUCUAUUUUUUUUUUUACAUUUCUUAUUUUGAUUUCUUCAGAGUGAUAUAUUAAGCGUCCUGCUGUGAAGCCACAAACAGUAUGAAGUGCGGCGUUUCUUUGGGGUCUCCUUCGGCGUGAGAUGGAUGGCGGUGAUGGAGAAUGUCUGACAGCUGGCGGCUCUGAGCAGAUGCUCUGUCAGCCGGCCCGCUUCUACAGCAGCGCCUAACACACGCAUCAGUCAUAACACAUCUCUGUGGAUGUGGAUCGAGCCAUCACAGAACUUCAGUUACAUUUUUCAAGCAACCCUGCAUUCUAGACUAAAAACUAGAAUGCAGCCAUAAAAGUUUUAUGUUGUCUGUAUCCCCCCCCCUCGACUCUUUACAUACUUGAGAUUAACUCAUUUAUGUGUUUCAUGCGUAUAAUUAAAAGAAACAGAGUAACUUUUAACAGGAAAUCUUGGAGCGAGCUCUUUAAUUUUUUAUUUGUGCACUGAAAAGCUGCCGAGCUGCUUAUUUUAAAUCCCUUUUUUUUUGUUUUUUUUUGUUA
Molecule: long non-coding RNA, 1081 nt
Organism: Gambusia affinis (western mosquitofish)
Lineage: Eukaryota; Metazoa; Chordata; Actinopteri; Cyprinodontiformes; Poeciliidae
Exons: 3
Source: RefSeq, a predicted model, not a curated record